GAUGAACGCUGGCGGCGUGCUUACCACAUGCAAGUCGAACGGUGAAGCAGAGCUUGCUCUGUGGAUCAGUGGCGAACGGGUGAGUAACACGUGAGCAACCUGCCCCUGACUCUGGGAUAAGCGCUGGAAACGGCGUCUAAUACUGGAUAUGAGCUGCGACCGCAUGGUCAGCAGUUGGAAAGAUUUUUCGGUCUGGGAUGGGCUCACGGCCUAUCAGCUUGUUGGUGAGGUAAUGGCUCACCAAGGCGUCGACGGGUAGCCGGCCUGAGAGGGUGACCGGCCACACUGGGACUGAGACACGGCCCAGACUCCUACGGGAGGCAGCAGUGGGGAAUAUUGCACAAUGGGCGAAAGCCUGAUGCAGCAACGCCGCGUGAGGGAUGACGGCCUUCGGGUUGUAAACCUCUUUUAGCAGGGAAGAAGCGAAAGUGACGGUACCUGCAGAAAAAGCGCCGGCUAACUACGU
Molecule: ribosomal RNA, 466 nt
Filed under: uncultured bacterium
Lineage: Bacteria
Description: partial 16S ribosomal RNA
Rfam family: Bacterial small subunit ribosomal RNA
Source: RNAcentral